This 447-nucleotide ribosomal RNA is filed under the name uncultured bacterium. RNAcentral's name for it is "bacterial SSU rRNA". It matches the Rfam family "Bacterial small subunit ribosomal RNA", at positions 328 to 793 of the family's 1533-position model. The record is from RNAcentral.
GGACCAGACUCCUACGGGAGGCAGCAGUGGGGGAUAUUGCACAAUGGGGGAAACCCUGAUGCAGCGAUGCCGCGUGAGUGAAGACGGCCUUCGGGUUGUAAAGCUCUGUCGCAGAGGACGAAAAUGACGGUACUCUGCAAGAAAGCUCCGGCUAACUCCGUGCCAGCAGCCGCGGUAAUACGGAGGAUGCGAGCGUUAUCCGGAUUUAUUGGGUUUAAAGGGUGCGCAGGCGGAUUUUUAAGUCAGCGGUGAAAUCGUGGGGCUCAACCCCAGCCAGCCGUUGAAACUGGGGAUCUAGAGUGUGCGAGAGGUAUGCGGAAUGCGUGGUGUAGCGGUGAAAUGCAUAGAUAUCACGCAGAACCCCGAUUGCGAAGGCAGCAUACCGGUGCACAACUGACGCUCAGGCACGAAAGCGUGGGUAUCGAACAGGAUUAGAUACCCCAGUAC